Molecule: long non-coding RNA, 554 nt
Filed under: Ananas comosus (pineapple)
Lineage: Eukaryota; Viridiplantae; Streptophyta; Magnoliopsida; Poales; Bromeliaceae
Description: long non-coding RNA (ACOM_LNC000863)
Source: RNAcentral
AUAAAUAAUGAAUUAAUCUUUUAUCGAAAUUAUCCAUAGUUUUAUCACAUUUAUUGGUUCUGGUAAAUUUAUAUUUACAGAAAUAAUUCUCCCGCUAUGCGAAUGCACUACAACAGAAUUAGGUUAUAGGGACACAUGUUUGGGACACUUUUGAGUAAGUGUCCCAUUUAUGCUAAAACCUAAAAACACAUCUACUAAUGCCUAAAUAUAAAGUCCAAUCCAAUAAAAAAUAAAAGAUUACUCUACUCAACCCACCACAUCCAGUCCAUUUGGCCCGAUUACAAACAGAAAAGAAAAAAAAAAAAAGAAAAAUCAAUUACCAUCUUUUCUUCUCUCUUCAUUCAAUCCACUGAAAUUCUAGACGAAGAGCCUUUACUGUCGUCCUCCUCCGCCACCGCAGCUAACGAGAUAGAGUUUCGGCGGUUGCUAAAUGCUUAAAUAAGUGUUGGUAAAUUAGCAGCACUCUUUUAGGUUAUAGCGACACUCUUUAACUGUCACUAUAUACCUAGCGACCCCACAUAUAGCAACACUUUUUAAAAGUGUCGGUAAUUUUA